UUCCACCCCCGUGACCCCCUGGCGUCCUCUCCACCACCGCAGCCCAACUGCUACGCCAAGGUGAUCACCAUCGAGGCGCAGAAGAAGAUCGUCAUCUACUCGAAGCAGCCCAUCGGGGUCAACGAGGAGAUCACCUACGACUACAAGUUCCCCAUCGAGGACACCAAAAUCCCCUGCCUGUGCCGCACCGAGAGCUGCCGCGGCACGCUCAACUAGGCCACCGCGUGGUGGGCCCGGUGGUGGGCCUGGUGGUGGGCCUGGUGGUGGGCCUGGUGGUGGGCGAGGAGGCAGCGGCGUUGGGGAGAAGUCAACGUGGUUGGCAAGAGGUCAACGUGGUGGUGUUGGGUCAUCGUGGUUGGUGUUGGGUCAUCGUGGUCAUCACCAUGGUUGGCAAGAGGUCAACGCAGUUGGCAAGAGGUCGUCGGUGUGGUUGGCGUUGGGUCAUCGGUGUUGGCAAGAAGUCAUCAUGGUCAUCACCGUGGUCAUCACU
This 490-nucleotide long non-coding RNA is filed under the name Anas platyrhynchos platyrhynchos (common mallard). RNAcentral describes it as "lncRNA (ENSAPLG00000025675.1)". The record is from RNAcentral. Lineage: Eukaryota; Metazoa; Chordata; Aves; Anseriformes; Anatidae.